RNAcentral lists this ribosomal RNA (468 nucleotides) under uncultured bacterium. Its description in RNAcentral is "partial 16S ribosomal RNA". It matches the Rfam family "Bacterial small subunit ribosomal RNA", at positions 28 to 507 of the family's 1533-position model. The record is from RNAcentral.
GACGAACGCUGGCGGCGUGCUUAACACAUGCAAGUCGAACGGAAAGGCCCUGCUUUUGUGGGGUGCUCGAGUGGCGAACGGGUGAGUAACACGUGAGUAACCUGCCCUUGACUUUGGGAUAACUUCAGGAAACUGGGGCUAAUACCGGAUAGGAGCUCCUGCUGCAUGGUGGGGGUUGGAAAGUUUCGGCGGUUGGGGAUGGACUCGCGGCUUAUCAGCUUGUUGGUGGGGUAGGUGCUUACCAAGGCUUUGACGGGUAGCCGGCCUGAGAGGGUGACCGGCCACAUUGGGACUGCGAUACGGCCCAGACUCCUACGGGAGGCAGCAGUGGGGAAUAUUGCACAAUGGGCGGAAGCCUGAUGCAGCAACGCCGCGUGCGGGAUGACGGCCUUCGGGUUGUAAACCGCUUUCGCCUGUGACGAAGCGUGAGUGACGGUAAUGGGUAAAGAAGCACCGGCUAACUACGUG